GAGCAGUGGAUUGCGCGCGACGCCGUGAACCCGGCCCCGCGAGUUCGAUCCUCCCCUACGACCACCAACAGUGACGAUUAUUUUAAUUGUUCACGGGCCUCCCCUAGUUCGACUGAGCAUCAAGGUGUCCGAGGACUCGUCCUUUAUGAGAGGCCCCGUGAUCUCGGAGACAACCCUGCGUCGAAUUAUAUGGGCCCAGGUGAAGUUGGAUGACGGAGCCUCCCCCACGCUGUACAAGAUGCGGGGAGGGCGGGUCACUUGAGCACUCUUCACCACGCUGGGUCAGCGCGGGUUGUUGGUUGUUGAAAGGCGUGGAAGCAAUUCGACAUCGGAGCAUAGUGCAGCACAACGAUUGCUUGCUGGUGCACCGCCCUCUGCUGGCAACGUGGCCCCGCAGAAGCCUAUAGCACCUGGUCUCGCACGGUGAUCGCCCAUCCCACGUGCGCUCCAGGCUGAAGCUCUACUUAGCUGCCGAAAACGAGAUCGGAUGUCUUGCCGGCGAUGUUAUUAUUUGCGUGUAAAGUUGUAAUACUAAUGAUGAGAGCUUACAAGCCUCUGUCAAUCCACCGCUUGAUGGAGGCCUCCAGCGACCCGUAUCGGCCGUCAACGUGGUUUCACUAAAGUUCAGGUGGCACUCGGGGAUCGAACUCAGGUUGUUUGGCUUCACAGCCGAUGUGUGCUAACCAUUGCACCACAACUACACUCCUCGUUCGCAUACGAAUCAAGCAACUGGACGUUGUGUGGGGGGUCUCAUCAUGUGGGACAGUUUUGA
Long non-coding RNA from Lethenteron reissneri (Far Eastern brook lamprey), 772 nucleotides. RefSeq lists it as uncharacterized. The record is from RefSeq and is a predicted model, not a curated record. Lineage: Eukaryota; Metazoa; Chordata; Hyperoartia; Petromyzontiformes; Petromyzontidae.